AGUGAACGCUGGCGGUAGGCCUAACACAUGCAAGUCGAACGGCAGCACAGUAAGAGCUUGCUCUUACGGGUGGCGAGUGGCGGACGGGUGAGGAAUACAUCGGAAUCUACUUUUUCGUGGGGGAUAACGUAGGGAAACUUACGCUAAUACCGCAUACGACCUACGGGUGAAAGCAGGGGAUCUUCGGACCUUGCGCGAUUGAAUGAGCCGAUGUCGGAUUAGCUAGUUGGCGGGGUAAAGGCCCACCAAGGCGACGAUCCGUAGCUGGUCUGAGAGGAUGAUCGGCGACAUGGGAACUGAGACACGGACAAGACGCCUACGGGAGGCAGCAGUGGGGAAUAUUGGACAGUGGGCGCAAGCCUGAUCCAGCCAUACCGCGUGGGUGAAGAAGGCCUUCGGGUUGUAAAGCCCUUUUGUUGGGAAAGAAAAGCAGCAGGUUAAUACCCCGCGGUUCUGACGGUACCCAAAGAAUAAGCACCGGCUAACUUCGUG
This 492-nucleotide ribosomal RNA is filed under the name uncultured bacterium. RNAcentral describes it as "partial 16S ribosomal RNA". It matches the Rfam family "Bacterial small subunit ribosomal RNA", at positions 29 to 507 of the family's 1533-position model. The record is from RNAcentral.